ACCAGGAUUUGUCUUGUUAUUGACAUUUAUGGGAAUACUCAAUUCCAGGAAGACAAAGAGACCUCUGAACUUUCUAAAUGUGGCCUCCAAGCUUUCUGGUCUGAAUGGGAACAGUUUGGCAAGAUCAUCAACAAUGACUGCAGAGCAAAUGGAGUCCAAGCUAAGACCUAAAAGGUUGCUUCCUGUUCAGGAUAGAAGCUUGAAGACCCUUUUAGAAAGGUCCAAGGUUCAUUAGGUACUUAGGAUUAACUGUUUCCAAAAUUCUAUCAGUAGCAAGAAAAGUGCUUAUAUGCUUGAUUGGACUAGACGACCAAAAAACAGUUCUCAAACAAGAUUUGUUUUAUGAAGACACUUUCCAUAGCAAUUGGACAAUAGUCCUCAGUGACUAACAUGGUAAGACAAAGGAUGGAAGCUGUUUCCCCCAACCUCUUGCCUCGCUGUACCUUAUCUUUCCACCCUUUGUUCCUGAAACUGUGAAAAUCAUAAACUUACUAAGGGCUGAAUAGCCCCGGGAGAAUUGCUAUAUACUCACAAACUUACAAUGGGCAGAUUUAUAAGCCAUGAUGAUAACUGACUAAUAGGAAAUACCCUGAACUGAAAAUGAGAGUUUUUCAUUUGCAAAUGGGUUCCCUUUCUCAGAGAAAUUACUGGAGAAAAUAUCACACAAGCAAAAUUAAUCUUUGGAGACCCUCUUUGCAUGUGUGUGUCUUCUCCUUCCAUAGCCACCAGAGGUAUCAUUGUCCUCAGGUCUCACCUCUACACACGCACAUAUACAAAAAGUGAUUUGAUAAAAUAAUUUACAUGAAUGUAUUAGUGUCCUAAUGUAAUUAUGCUUUCAAAGGAAUCCCAUGAAGAGAACACUGUUUGAUGCGACAAUAGCCUCUCUACUCCAUUUCAAAUGCUUUGGACAAAGGGUUGGGAAGUACAUGUGAAUGGGGGUUCCUUGGUCCCCUCCAAUCAUACAAUGUGUGCAGGCACUCCAUGCACCAGAUUUUAUAUCAAAAUUUGCUUGAUAACUAUUAAUCUAUUAUUGAAUUACCUUCU
This 1044-nucleotide long non-coding RNA is filed under the name Vulpes vulpes (red fox). RNAcentral describes it as "lncRNA (ENSVVUG00000026206.1)". Lineage: Eukaryota; Metazoa; Chordata; Mammalia; Carnivora; Canidae. The record is from RNAcentral.